This 495-nucleotide ribosomal RNA is filed under the name uncultured bacterium. RNAcentral's name for it is "partial 16S ribosomal RNA". It matches the Rfam family "Bacterial small subunit ribosomal RNA", at positions 28 to 507 of the family's 1533-position model. The record is from RNAcentral.
GACGAACGCUGGCGGCGUGCCUAAUACAUGCAAGUAGAACGCUGAAGGAGGAGGUUGCUCUUCUGGAUGAGUUGCGAACGGGUGAGUAACGCGUAGGUAACCUGCCUGGUAGCGGGGGAUAACUAUUGGAAACGAUAGCUAAUACCGCAUAACAGUAGAUGUUGCAUGACAUUUGCUUAAAAGGUGCAAUUGUACCACUACCAGUUGGACCUGCGUUGGAUUAGCUUGUUGGUGGGGUAACGGCUCACCAAGGAGACGAUACAUAGUCGACCCGGAAGGGGGGUCGGCCAACCUGGGACUGAGGAAAGGGCCCAGACCCCUAGGGGAGGAGCAAUAGGGGAAUUUCGGGAAUGGAGCGAAGGCUGGACGGGGAACGCCGGGGUGGGUGAGAAGGGUUUCGGGUCGGAAAACCCUGUUGAUUGGGAAAGAAGAGUUGGAGAGGUAAAAAUGCACGCUGUGACGGUACCUAAUCAGAAAGCGACGGCUAACUACGUG